AUGGCGCCCGUUGUGGAGCGCGCGUCAUCGGCGCCGCACUUUCUCGUGGUGACGUACCCGGCGCAGGGCCACAUCAACCCGGCGCGGCACCGCGCUGCGCCAGGCGCCCGUGUCACCGUCUCCACCGCCGUGUCCGCCUGCCGCAAGAUGUUCUCGGACCACGCGGACGCGGCGGCGGUGGACCAUGUCGACGGCGCCGGCGUCCGCUACGUGCCCUUCUCCGACGGCUUCGACGCCGGCUUCGACGGGGACAUCACGGACUACAUAUCGAGCCUCAAGGCUGUGGGUCCCCGCACGCUGGACAGCGUGCUCGCGCGCCUCCGCGACGCCGGCACCCCCGUCACGCAGCUGGUGUACACGCAGGUCGUCUCCUGGGCCGCCGACGUCGCGCGCGCGCACGGCGUGCCCGCGGUGCUCUACUGGAUCCAGCAGGCCACCGUGCUCGCCGCCUACUUCCACUUCUUGCGCGGCACCGACAGUCUCGACCAGGCCGUCGCCGCGGCGGCGAGCAACCCGUGGGCGGACAUUCGCGUCCGAGGGCUCCCGCCGAUGCGCGUGCGUGACCUGCCGCAGGGGCGGAGCACCGGCGACGACCACCACACCUACGCCUUCAUGCUACGCGACAUGCGCGAGCUGCUCGACGUGCUGGGCCGCGAGGACACGCCUACCGUGCUCGCGAACACGUUCCACGCCAUGGAGCCCGACGCGGUGGCGACGCUGAGCCAGAGCGGCAUCCACGUCGUCCCCAUCGGCCCCGUGCUCUCCUUCCUGGAUGCCUCGGCGGCGUCGGCCAGCAACAACAACAACAACAACGACCUGUUCAAGCUGGACGGCAAGGGGUACCUGGAGUGGCUGGACGCGCAGGCAGCGGGGUCGGUGGUGUACAUCUCCUUCGGGAGCUCGUCCGCGAUGAGCAAGCGGCAAAUCACUGAGGUGGCGCGCGGCAUGGCGGAGAGCGGCCGGCUGUUCUUGUGGGUGCUGAGGAAGGACAACCGCAGCGAGGUCGACGGCGACGAGCUGAAGCUGUGCGCCGGCGGUGGCAUGGCGGUGGAGUGGUGCGACCAGGCAAAGGUGCUGUCGCACCCGGCGGUGGGGUGCUUCGUGACGCACUGCGGAUGGAACUCGACGCUGGAGAGCGUUGCGUGCGGCGUGCCGGUAGUCGGAGUGCCGCAAUGGACGGACCAGGGCACCAACGCGUGGCUCGUGGAGCGGCAGCUCGGCACCGGGGUAAGGGCCGCCGUGAUCAGCGACAAGGACGGCGUGCUAGAGGCUGGCGAGCUGCGGAGGUGCAUCAGCUUCGUCACAUUGGAUGUUGUGCGCGCCAUGGCGGAGCUGUGGAAGGAAAAGGCACGGGGGGCGGCGGCCGUGGGCGGCUCACCUCAGGGCGUUCGUUGCCGGGGAGGUCGCCCUCGCCGGCAACUAGCCAGCCGGCUGGUAGGCCACCUUGCAUGCAUGGCAUUGUUCUGCAAACAGACAGAAGGACGACGUACAUACGAGACGAGACGACUUGCUCCGUACCGUACUGUCGACGUUGCAUCUGUUAGGACAACUGAAAAAAAUAGCGCCCUAUAUCCUCGCUAA
This 1581-nucleotide ribosomal RNA is filed under the name Triticum aestivum (bread wheat). RNAcentral's name for it is "partial small subunit ribosomal RNA". The record is from RNAcentral. Lineage: Eukaryota; Viridiplantae; Streptophyta; Magnoliopsida; Poales; Poaceae.